Molecule: ribosomal RNA, 465 nt
Filed under: uncultured bacterium
Lineage: Bacteria
Description: partial 16S ribosomal RNA
Rfam family: Bacterial small subunit ribosomal RNA
Source: RNAcentral
GACGAACGCUGGCGGCGUGCUUAACACAUGCAAGUCGAACGGAAAGGCCCCUUCGGGGGUACUCGCGUGGCGAACGGGUGAGUAACACGUGAGUAACCUGCCCUUGACUUCGGGAUAACUUCAGGAAACUGGGGCUAAUACCUGAUAGGAAUCCUUGCUGCCUGGUGGGGGUUGGAAAGCUUCGGCGGUUUUGGAUGGACUCGCGGCUUAUCUGCUUGUUGGUGGGGUAGUGGCUUACCAAGGCUUUGACGGGUAGCCGGCCUGGGAGGGCGAACGGCCACAUUGGGACUGAGAUACGGCCCAGACUCCUACGGGAGGCAGCAGGGGGGAAUAUUGCACAAUGGGCGGGAGCCGGAUGCAGCAACGCCGCGGGCGGGAUGACGGCCUUCGGGUUGUAAACCGCUUUCAGCAGGGGCGAAGCUUGUGGUGACGGUACCUGCAGAAGAAGCACCGGCUAACUACGUG